CAGCAGCCGCGGUAAUACGUAGGUGGCAAGCGUUGUCCGGAAUUAUUGGGCGUAAAGGGCGCGUAGGCGGACAAUUAAGUCGGGGGUGAAAGCCCGGGGCUCAACCUCGGAAUUGCGUUCGAUACUGGCUGUCUUGAGUGUGAGAGAGGUGUGUGGAACUCCGAGUGUAGAGGUGAAAUUCGUAGAUAUUCGGAAGAACACCAGUGGCGAAGGCGACACACUGGCUCACUACUGACGCUGAGGCGCGAAAGCGUGGGGAGCAAACAGGAUUAGAUACCCGUGUAGUCCCUGUCUCUUAUAC
RNAcentral lists this ribosomal RNA (301 nucleotides) under uncultured bacterium. Its description in RNAcentral is "partial 16S ribosomal RNA". It matches the Rfam family "Bacterial small subunit ribosomal RNA", at positions 509 to 807 of the family's 1533-position model. The record is from RNAcentral.